GAUGAACGCUGGCGGCGUGCCUAAUACAUGCAAGUCGAGCGAACGGACGAGAAGCUUGCUUCUCUGAUGUUAGCGGCGGACGGGUGAGUAACACGUGGAUAACCUACCUAUAAGACUGGGAUAACUUCGGGAAACCGGAGCUGAUACCGGAUAAUAUUUUGAACCGCAUGGUUCAAAAGUGAAAGACGGUCUUGCUGUCACUUAUAGAUGGAUCCGCGCUGCAUUAGCUAGUUGGUAAGGUAACGGCUUACCAAGGCAACGAUGCAUAGCCGACCUGAGAGGGUGAUCGGCCACACUGGAACUGAGACACGGUCCAGACUCCUACGGGAGGCAGCAGUAGGGAAUCUUCCGCAAUGGGCGAAAGCCUGACGGAGCAACGCCGCGUGAGUGAUGAAGGUCUUCGGAUCGUAAAACUCUGUUAUUAGGGAAGAACAUAUGUGUAAGUAACUGUGCACAUCUUGACGGUACCUAAUCAGAAAGCCACGGCUAACUACGUG
RNAcentral lists this ribosomal RNA (497 nucleotides) under uncultured bacterium. Its description in RNAcentral is "partial 16S ribosomal RNA". It matches the Rfam family "Bacterial small subunit ribosomal RNA", at positions 28 to 507 of the family's 1533-position model. The record is from RNAcentral.